CUCUCUCUCUCUCUCUCUCUCUCUCUCUCUCUCUCUCUCAUUCCCUAUUAGGUAAAUUUGAAAAUCUAAAAAUGACUUGGCACUUUUAAAAGGUAACUUCACCAAAGACCGACGAGCCAGUAGCCAGCAGCUCCACCUUGUCUCAGCGUCAUAUCUUGUCUGCCCUUUCUUUUUGCCGGACCAGUUUGCGGUUAGGAGAAUGUGCCUUUUUUGUAACUUUGCAUUAGGUUUUAUAAUUUUAACUGAUGUACGGACUCACAGAGACAAAUUAAAAACAAAAAAAAAAAACAAAACAAAACAAAAAAAGCACGAAGGAAGAUUUGAAUCCAGGCAGUGCCGCUCUCUGAUGUCAUCCACUACAGGCGUUCACGUGUAAAGAAAAACCAACUUUGAAACUAUGAAAUUCCUGAUUCAUAAAUACAGUUAUUUCUACUUUAGUACAUGCAAGAUAAUUCACUGUUAUUAACACUCUUUUAUUAAGGCAGUUGCAUACGUUUUAAAAGCAAUGGUAAAUUAAGUUGUCUUCCAAAACUGUGUACUUGUCUGGUCAGCUGUAUAUGAUCAGUUAUCUACCUCAGAGGCUAUUUUUCUUUUGUGCUGGGACAGGUUGCUGGCCCUCCCUGUUUCCACCGACCAAAUCCUCCCAGCUCUGGAGUUAGGGCUGGGCAUUUAUUUCUUUUGAGUGUUUUUUAGUUCUUAAAUUUUUAUUGCUUGUAUUUGAUGAUAGAUGUCAGUGACAUUUCAUAGUUUCAAAAGUCCUUGCUGCUCUGAAAGUGUAGAUUCUAGUGAAAAUUACAUAGUCAUAAGAGAAAUGUGGUUUUUUUGUUUUUGGUUUUUUUCUUGUUUCUUUUUUCCUUUUUUUCUUUUUUUCUUUUUCUUUUCUUUUUUUCUUUUUUUAAAGAAGUUGUGGUAUUAUUGGUUCUAUGCUCCCUCAAACAUUCUGCUUUGUGAAGUCCAGACUGAAGGCAGCACCCUCCAUGUACUGAGUAUGUUUGUCAGCCCGGGGCGCUCACUACUUGAUAUUUUUUCCAUUAGUUAAGACAGAAAGUUGUUAGCUCAGUCAGUGGGGGAGGGGAGAUCUGCUGCUAGGUCUGAACUAAGUGCCAUACUCGUCUGGGUCAGAUUUGGGAAACAACCUCUGUACAUAUGAAAGAAGAAAAAAAAGUCAGUUAAACAUCACAUAGUAGACAGCCAUUAAAUUAUAAAAAAAAUUAAUUUAUGAAGAAAGACCUUUUGUACAGAUUGAAAAAAAAGAUUUUCAUAGAGAUAUCUAUAUGAUCAAGAGAGUUAAUUUUUUAUUUUUGUUCUGGUAGUGCUACAUUCUUGCCAGUGGUGACUUAUUUACCGGUUCAAGAUGACUCUGUAGUUUUCUUUCCUAGGACUUGUUAAAACGCCAAAAGACAUUUCUGAACUGUACAUUUGAUCAGAUUGUUAGCUUUUUCUGUUUUAUUUCUUUUGAGAACCUUUGAAUAAAAACAUCUGAAACUUUCUUCUUCCUGU
This 1500-nucleotide long non-coding RNA is filed under the name Rattus norvegicus (Norway rat). RNAcentral's name for it is "long non-coding RNA NONRATT019326". The record is from RNAcentral. Lineage: Eukaryota; Metazoa; Chordata; Mammalia; Rodentia; Muridae.